GUGGGUAUGGUUCAGUUGGUUAGAGCGCCAGAUUGUGGCUCUGGAUAUCGUGGGUUCGAGUCCCACUACUCACCCCA
RNAcentral lists this transfer RNA (77 nucleotides) under Clostridia bacterium. RNAcentral's name for it is "tRNA-His". It matches the Rfam family "tRNA". From Rfam's summary of the family: Transfer RNA (tRNA) molecules are approximately 80 nucleotides in length. Their secondary structure includes four short double-helical elements and three loops (D, anti-codon, and T loops). Lineage: Bacteria; Bacillati; Bacillota; Clostridia. The record is from RNAcentral.